UGGGGAAUAUUGCACAAUGGGGGAAACCCUGAUGCAGCAACGCCGCGUGAGUGAUGAAGGCCUUCGGGUUGUAAAGCUCUGUCUUCAGGGACGAUAAUGACGGUACCUGAGGAGGAAGCCACGGCUAACUACGUGCCAGCAGCCGCGGUAAUACGUAGGUGGCAAGCGUUGUCCGGAUUUACUGGGCGUAAAGGGAGUGUAGGCGGAUACUUAAGUCAGAUGUGAAAUACCCGGGCUCAACUUGGGUGCUGCAUUUGAAACUGGGUAUCUAGAGUGCAGGAGAGGAAAGUGGAAUUCCUAGUGUAGCGGUGAAAUGCGUAGAGAUUAGGAAGAACACCAGUGGCGAAGGCGACUUUCUGGACUGUAACUGACGCUGAGGCUCGAAAGCGUGGGGAGCAAACAG
Molecule: ribosomal RNA, 403 nt
Filed under: uncultured bacterium
Lineage: Bacteria
Description: bacterial SSU rRNA
Rfam family: Bacterial small subunit ribosomal RNA
Source: RNAcentral